RNAcentral lists this ribosomal RNA (314 nucleotides) under uncultured bacterium. RNAcentral describes it as "partial 16S ribosomal RNA". It matches the Rfam family "Bacterial small subunit ribosomal RNA", at positions 499 to 807 of the family's 1533-position model. The record is from RNAcentral.
UUAUAAGAGACAGCAGUAGCCACGGUAAAACAGAGGGUGCGAGCGUUAAUCGGAUUUACUGGGCGUAAAGCGUGCGUAGGCGGCUUCUUAAGUCGGAUGUGAAAUCCCUGAGCUUAACUUAGGAAUUGCAUUCGAUACUGGGAAGCUAGAGUAUGGGAGAGGAUGGUAGAAUUCCAGGUGUAGCGGUGAAAUGCGUAGAGAUCUGGAGGAAUACCGAUGGCGAAGGCAGCCAUCUGGCCUAAUACUGACGCUGAGGUACGAAAGCAUGGGGAGCAAACAGGAUUAGAUACCCCAGUAGUCCCUGUCUCUUAUAC